This 460-nucleotide ribosomal RNA is filed under the name uncultured bacterium. Its description in RNAcentral is "partial 16S ribosomal RNA". It matches the Rfam family "Bacterial small subunit ribosomal RNA", at positions 338 to 795 of the family's 1533-position model. The record is from RNAcentral.
CCUACGGGAGGCAGCAGUGAGGAAUAUUGGUCAAUGGACGAGAGUCUGAACCAGCCAAGUAGCGUGAAGGAUGACUGCCCUAUGGGUUGUAAACUUCUUUUAUAUAGGAAUAAAACAGGGUAUGCAUACCCUCUUGUAUGUACCAUAUGAAUAAGGAUCGGCUAACUCCGUGCCAGCAGCCGCGGUAAUACGGAGGAUCCGAGCGUUAUCCGGAUUUAUUGGGUUUAAAGGGAGCGUAGGUGGAUUGUUAAGUCAGUUGUGAAAGUUUGCGGCUCAACCGUAAAAUUGCAGUUGAUACUGGCAGUCGUGAGUACAGUAGAGGUGGGCGGAAUGCGUGGUGUAGCGGUGAAAUGCUUAGAUAUCACGAAGAACUCCGAUUGCGAAGGCAGCUCACUGAACUGCAACUGACACUGAUGCUCGAAAGUGUGGGUAUCAAACAGGAUUAGAGACCCCAGUAGUC